AAACGCUUGAAGUCAGUCGCGUUCUCUGGGAUUCAGCCUUGCUUCUGCUUGGUGCAUUUCCUAGUCUACGGGCCAGCAUGAAUUUUGACCAGUGGAAAAAGAUUUGGGGAAUGUGGCACCUUCGGGUGUGUUAUAGCCCCUUGUCAGAUACAUUGGUUGGGAUUGAGGUCUUAGUGCACGCUUCGGUUGUGCUUUGAUGCUGGCGUAAUGGCUUUAAACGA
This 221-nucleotide ribosomal RNA is filed under the name Ceratobasidium sp. Its description in RNAcentral is "partial large subunit ribosomal RNA". Lineage: Eukaryota; Fungi; Basidiomycota; Agaricomycetes; Cantharellales; Ceratobasidiaceae. The record is from RNAcentral.